CUGACCCGCCGCCGCGAAUCUCCGCUCGUAACUCCGGGCCUGAACCUGGAGGAGGGAGGAUUUCCUCUGUGCAGCUUUCGAGCGGUAGACUCACCCUGCCAGGCAGACCUAGAUUGGCAUAACCAGAGAUCAGUUCCAGUUGUGAUGCAGUGGGUGUCUACACACUUCUGAUGACACCUUUAUUUUAAAAGCUGAUGUUCCAAGAUUUUUAGGGCAGUUUUUAGUGUCAUUAUGUUGCUGCUACAUAUUUGGAAGAUGGAACAAGCCCAGACAAAGGAGGAUUCUUUUUUACUCAUCUUAAAUCCAUUUUAUUUUCCUUCAUCUGAGCCCCUUAAAACUAAUGUGUUACUGGUGCAAGCGGUCUUCUCUGUCUUCUUUAUGGCCAGUAAAAUUCUCCAGAAGAGAUUUAUGGCAGCCUCACUCCCAGUAGUUUCUGCAUUUAGUGAGAUAAGGAAUGGAUUUUCUUCUGUGUAUUGCUGACACGAACAGGAGACGGAAAUACUGAGUAGAAGAGGGCGGUUCCCUGGCUAAGGCCCCA
This 538-nucleotide long non-coding RNA is filed under the name Homo sapiens (human). RNAcentral describes it as "HSALNT0329388". The record is from RNAcentral. Lineage: Eukaryota; Metazoa; Chordata; Mammalia; Primates; Hominidae.